GGUAUUUACUUUUACAUAUUUCUACAAAGUGGUUUUAGGAAAUGAGAGCUUUACAUCGUACUUAAUUCUUCUAACAUUCCAAAUGCCGAGAAGUGGCUAAUGAUUUCUGCACAUUACUGUCCCUAUUAUCAUUAAUAUAGUUUGUGUUUUAAUGGAGUGCUUCUGGGGCUUAUUUAAAUAUCGCAUUUUAUCACUUGCUUUCCUACGCAGCUGCUAUUGUCUCUCUGAUUACCUCAUUUUAACC
Pelobates cultripes (western spadefoot toad) is the source of this 244-nucleotide non-coding RNA. The record is from the annotation of a GenBank genome assembly. NCBI's taxonomy places the organism in Eukaryota, Metazoa, Chordata, Amphibia, Anura, Pelobatidae.